GGGAUAACCUUCCGAAAGGAGGGCUAAUACCAGAUAAGACCACGGGGCUUCGGCCCUGAGGUUAAAGGUGGCCUCUGCUCGCAAGCUACCACUCGGAGAUGGGCCUGCGCACCAUUAGCUAGUUGGCGAGGUAACGGCUCAUCAAGGCGAAGAUGGUUAGCUGAUCUGAGAGGAUGAUCAGCCACACUGGGACUGAGACACGGCCCAGACUCCUACAGGAGGCAGCAGUGGGGAAUCUUGGACAAUGGGGGAAACCCUGAUCCAUCGACGCCGCGUGCGUGAUGAAGGCCUUCGGGUCGUAAAGCCCUGUCGGGAGGGAAGAAACUCCUGCCGGUGAACAAUCGGCGGGAUUGACGGUACCUCCUAAGGAAGCACCGGCUAACUCUGUGCCAGCAGCCGCGGUAAGACAGAGGGUGCAAGCGUUGUUCGGAAUUACUGGGCGUAAAGGGCGCGUAGGCGGUCCGCUAAGUUCGGUGUGAAAUCCCCUGGCUCAACUGGGGAACUGCGCCCGAUACUGGUGGACUCGACUACCGGAGAGGAUGGUGGAAUUCCUGGUG
RNAcentral lists this ribosomal RNA (557 nucleotides) under uncultured bacterium. RNAcentral describes it as "bacterial SSU rRNA". It matches the Rfam family "Bacterial small subunit ribosomal RNA", at positions 140 to 675 of the family's 1533-position model. The record is from RNAcentral.